AAAAUCAAAUCAUCCGCUGAAUAUGACUUUCUUAUUAAUAUUAAGGUUCCUCCAUCCUAUCUAUUUGAUUCAUACCAGCCUGUGUGCCCUUUCAUUUUCCAUAGGUUCCACUCUCCUUUCAUUUUCUAAUUAUCAUUAACAUCAUCCUUCAUAUAACCAUUCUAUAUAGAAUUGCUCUUCCUCUUGUUGCGCUGACACAGUACAGCUUAUCAUUCAAGAAAAAAAAGUGAAAAAAACUUAGGCUUCUUUUUGGCCUUUUUUGCCAGCAUUGCAUUGCAUUGCACAUGGGGAGGCAUUCUUGCUGUUACAAGCAGAAGCUGAGGAAAGGCCUCUGGUCCCCUGAAGAAGAUGAGAAACUUAUAAAUCAUAUUACUAAAUAUGGUCAUGGCUGUUGGAGUUCAGUCCCUAAACUAGCUGGUACAAUACACACUAUUUUACUCACUUUUCUUGAAAAUGCAUCAGGAAAAAUAAUACUAUUUUGUUUUUGAUGCAGGGCUUCAGAGGUGUGGCAAAAGCUGCAGGCUAAGAUGGAUUAACUACCUGAGACCUGAUUUGAAAAGAGGAACAUUCUCACUUGAGGAAGAGAAUUUGAUCAUUGAACUUCAUGCAGUUCUAGGGAACAAGUACAUACAUAUUUUCUUGAUUCUUUUACACAUUAUAGUACUUUUCAUGAUGUAACAAAACUGACCCUUGACUUCUUUUUCCAUAGGUGGUCACAAAUUGCUGCUAGAUUACCUGGAAGAACAGACAAUGAAAUCAAGAAUUUAUGGAAUUCUUCCAUUAAGAAAAAACUAAGGCAAAAAGGGAUUGAUCCAAACACUCACAAGCCACUAUCUGAGGUUGAGAAUGAAGAGAAGGUGUCAGUAAUCAGUAAGAACAAUGAGAAAGCUUCUGAAGGCUCCAGUGAACUCAAUUUCUUUGAAGCUCAUGAGAAUUCUAACUAUGGAAUUGAAACAGAGAAACCAAAACCAUCUUCAGCGACGACUAUGGACCGCUAUUCCAAUCAUAUGAGUGCUGCUGUAGCCCCACCAACACAUGUAUU
Molecule: long non-coding RNA, 1042 nt
Filed under: Nicotiana tabacum (common tobacco)
Lineage: Eukaryota; Viridiplantae; Streptophyta; Magnoliopsida; Solanales; Solanaceae
Description: long non-coding RNA (NTAB_LNC012872)
Source: RNAcentral